GACUCCGCUGCGCAACGGUAGCGCGUCUGACUCCAGAUCAGAAGGUUGCGUGUUCAAAUCACGUCGGGGUCA
This 72-nucleotide transfer RNA is filed under the name Schistocerca americana (American grasshopper). RNAcentral describes it as "tRNA-Trp". It matches the Rfam family "tRNA". From Rfam's summary of the family: Transfer RNA (tRNA) molecules are approximately 80 nucleotides in length. Their secondary structure includes four short double-helical elements and three loops (D, anti-codon, and T loops). Lineage: Eukaryota; Metazoa; Arthropoda; Insecta; Orthoptera; Acrididae. The record is from RNAcentral.